RNAcentral lists this non-coding RNA (25 nucleotides) under Mus musculus (house mouse). Lineage: Eukaryota; Metazoa; Chordata; Mammalia; Rodentia; Muridae. The record is from RNAcentral.
UGGAGAGGAAGUGGGUCAGAGCAGU